RNAcentral lists this small RNA (58 nucleotides) under Pelobates cultripes (western spadefoot toad). Lineage: Eukaryota; Metazoa; Chordata; Amphibia; Anura; Pelobatidae. The record is from RNAcentral.
GUCACUGGUGGUUGGCACUCCCGGGCAACUGGGACAGGGUUCAAGUCCCUGUGGUGUU